This 305-nucleotide ribosomal RNA is filed under the name uncultured bacterium. Its description in RNAcentral is "bacterial SSU rRNA". It matches the Rfam family "Bacterial small subunit ribosomal RNA", at positions 335 to 658 of the family's 1533-position model. The record is from RNAcentral.
UACCUACGGGAGGCAGCAGUGGGGGAUAUUGCACAAUGGGGGAAACCCUGAUGCAGCGACGCCGCGUGUGGGAAGACGGUCCUCUGGAUUGUAAACCACUGUCCCCAGGGACGAAGAUGACGGUACCUGAAGAAAAAGCAUCGGCUAACUCCGUGCCAGCAGCCGCGGUAAUACGGAGGAUGCGAGCGUUAUCCGGAUUUAUUGGGUUUAAAGGGUGCGUAGGCGGAAUGCCAAGUCAGCGGUAAAAUCGCGGGGCUCAACCUCGCUCCGCCGUUGAAACUGGCGUUCUUGAGUGGGCGAGAAGU